This 1417-nucleotide ribosomal RNA is filed under the name Streptococcus thermophilus. Its description in RNAcentral is "bacterial SSU rRNA". It matches the Rfam family "Bacterial small subunit ribosomal RNA". The record is from RNAcentral. Lineage: Bacteria; Bacillati; Bacillota; Bacilli; Lactobacillales; Streptococcaceae.
UGCAAGUAGAACGCUGAGAGAGGAGCUUGCUCUUCUUGGAUGAGUUGCGAACGGGUGAGUAACGCGUAGGUAACCUGCCUUGUAGCGGGGGAUAACUAUUGGAAACGAUAGCUAAUACCGCAUAACAAUGGAUGACACAUGUCAUUUAUUUGAAAGGGGCAAUUGCUCCACUACAAGAUGGACCUGCGUUGUAUUAGCUAGUAGGUGAGGUAAUGGCUCACCUAGGCGACGAUACAUAGCCGACCUGAGAGGGUGAUCGGCCACACUGGGACUGAGACACGGCCCAGACUCCUACGGGAGGCAGCAGUAGGGAAUCUUCGGCAAUGGGGGCAACCCUGACCGAGCAACGCCGCGUGAGUGAAGAAGGUUUUCGGAUCGUAAAGCUCUGUUGUAAGUCAAGAACGGGUGUGAGAGUGGAAAGUUCACACUGUGACGGUAGCUUACCAGAAAGGGACGGCUAACUACGUGCCAGCAGCCGCGGUAAUACGUAGGUCCCGAGCGUUGUCCGGAUUUAUUGGGCGUAAAGCGAGCGCAGGCGGUUUGAUAAGUCUGAAGUUAAAGGCUGUGGCUCAACCAUAGUUCGCUUUGGAAACUGUCAAACUUGAGUGCAGAAGGGGAGAGUGGAAUUCCAUGUGUAGCGGUGAAAUGCGUAGAUAUAUGGAGGAACACCGGUGGCGAAAGCGGCUCUCUGGUCUGUAACUGACGCUGAGGCUCGAAAGCGUGGGGAGCGAACAGGAUUAGAUACCCUGGUAGUCCACGCCGUAAACGAUGAGUGCUAGGUGUUGGAUCCUUUCCGGGAUUCAGUGCCGCAGCUAACGCAUUAAGCACUCCGCCUGGGGAGUACGACCGCAAGGUUGAAACUCAAAGGAAUUGACGGGGGCCCGCACAAGCGGUGGAGCAUGUGGUUUAAUUCGAAGCAACGCGAAGAACCUUACCAGGUCUUGACAUCCCGAUGCUAUUUCUAGAGAUAGAAAGUUACUUCGGUACAUCGGUGACAGGUGGUGCAUGGUUGUCGUCAGCUCGUGUCGUGAGAUGUUGGGUUAAGUCCCGCAACGAGCGCAACCCCUAUUGUUAGUUGCCAUCAUUCAGUUGGGCACUCUAGCGAGACUGCCGGUAAUAAACCGGAGGAAGGUGGGGAUGACGUCAAAUCAUCAUGCCCCUUAUGACCUGGGCUACACACGUGCUACAAUGGUUGGUACAACGAGUUGCGAGUCGGUGACGGCGAGCUAAUCUCUUAAAGCCAAUCUCAGUUCGGAUUGUAGGCUGCAACUCGCCUACAUGAAGUCGGAAUCGCUAGUAAUCGCGGAUCAGCACGCCGCGGUGAAUACGUUCCCGGGCCUUGUACACACCGCCCGUCACACCACGAGAGUUUGUAACACCCGAAGUCGGUGAGGUAACCUUUGGAGCCAGCCGCCUA